Molecule: ribosomal RNA, 253 nt
Filed under: uncultured bacterium
Lineage: Bacteria
Description: partial 16S ribosomal RNA
Rfam family: Bacterial small subunit ribosomal RNA
Source: RNAcentral
GACGUAGGGUGCGAGCGUUGUCCGGAUUUAUUGGGCGUAAAGAGCUCGUAGGCGGCUUGUCGCGUCGGAUGUGAAAGCCCGGGGCUUAACUCCGGGUCUGCAUUCGAUACGGGCAGGCUAGAGUUCGGUAGGGGAGAUCGGAAUUCCUGGUGUAGCGGUGAAAUGCGCAGAUAUCAGGAGGAACACCGGUGGCGAAGGCGGAUCUCUGGGCCGAUACUGACGCUGAGGAGCGAAAGCGUGGGGAGCGAACAGG